Molecule: ribosomal RNA, 442 nt
Filed under: uncultured bacterium
Lineage: Bacteria
Description: partial 16S ribosomal RNA
Rfam family: Bacterial small subunit ribosomal RNA
Source: RNAcentral
CCUACGGGUGGCUGCAGUGGGGAAUAUUGGUCAAUGGGCGCAAGCCUGACCCAGCAACGCCGCGUGAAGGAAGAAGGCUUUCGGGUUGUAAACUUCUUUUGUCAGGGAAGAGUAGAAGACGGUACCUGACGAAUAAGCGACGGCUAACUACGUGCCAGCAGCCGCGGUAAUACGUAGGUGGCGAGCUUUUUCCGGAUUUACUGGGGGUAAAGGGCGUGUGGCCGGGUUGACAAGUCAGAUGUGAAAUCCUGCGGCUGAAACGCAGAACUGCCUUUGAAACUGCUGUUCUUGAGUACUGGAGAGGCAGACGGAAUUCGUGGUGUAGCGGUGAAAUGCGUAGAUAUUAGGAGGAACACCAGUGGCGAAGGCGGCAUGCUGGACAGCAACUGACGGUGAGGCGCGAAAGCGUGGGGAGCAAACAGGAUUAGAUACCCGUGUAGUC